CAGCAGCCGCGGGAAUACGAAGGGGGCUAGCGUUGCUCGGAAUGACUGGGCGUAAAGGGCGCGUAGGCGGUUUGGACAGUCAGAUGUGAAAUUCCUGGGCUUAACCUGGGGGCUGCAUUUGAUACGUACAGGCUUGAGUGUGGAAGAGGGUCGUGGAAUUCCCAGUGUAGAGGUGAAAUUCGUAGAUAUUGGGAAGAACACCGGCGGCGAAGGCGGCGACCUGGUCCAUUACUGACGCUGAGGCGCGAAAGCGUGGGGAGCAAACAGGAUUAGAUACCCGCGUAGUCCCUGUCUCUUAUAC
Molecule: ribosomal RNA, 301 nt
Filed under: uncultured bacterium
Lineage: Bacteria
Description: partial 16S ribosomal RNA
Rfam family: Bacterial small subunit ribosomal RNA
Source: RNAcentral